CAAAAAUACAUUUUUUCAGAUUGCAAAGGUGAGGCUGUUGAACAGUAGAGUGGACAUGUUACUGCCCUUGAAGGAGGACUGGUAACACUCAGCUGUAACUACACUACAAGCAGUAGUACAUCUCCUGAUCUCUUCUGGUACAUCCAGUUAACUAGGAACUCUCCUCAGUAUGUCCUGAGAAGAGAUCGUUAUUCAGAAGGGAGCAAUAGUGAUGAGUUCCAGGGGGGGUUUGAUUCCAGGCUGAAUUUCACAUCUAGCUCUGUAGAGUGUUUGCCUCAGGAUUCUCAAUGUUUGACAAUGCCCACAACGAGGAGGAGAGAAGGAUUUCAUGGUGUCAUCAUGGCCUAGCUACAUCAGAGUGGUUUUACUCUUCUCCUGUUGGUCUCACAGUUAGCAGACAUGGGACUCUGGCUGAGUAAUUUACUGAUUCUUGCUGCAUGUUGUUAUGAAUGCAGAGGAGAAGACACAGUCAUUCAGCCACCAGGAGAUGUGAUCGCUACUGAGGGAGAACAGGUCACACUGGACUGUCAAUUUGAUGCAGUUAAUAUAAAGAAUGUCUACCUGUUCUGGUACAAGCAUGAAUUAAAUGGAUUCCCAGAGUUCAUGCUGGGACGUUUUUCUUUUGGAAGUAAAAAUGCCACUGAGUUCAAGGAUAGAUUUGAUGCCCAUCUCGAUGCAGACUCCAAGUCAGUCCCCUUGACGAUCCAGAGGGUGCAGCUGUCUGACUCUGCUGUGUACUACUGUGCUCUGAGGCCCACUGUGAUAACAGGAUAUACAGCCUCAUUACAAAAACUAUUUGAUAGUGUGAUGUAAGACUCUUAGAGAGCCUAGUGGAAGCCC
Oncorhynchus kisutch (coho salmon) is the source of this 840-nucleotide non-coding RNA. The record is from the annotation of a RefSeq genome assembly. Lineage: Eukaryota; Metazoa; Chordata; Actinopteri; Salmoniformes; Salmonidae.